AGCUCCAAUCGUGUAUCUUAACGUUGUUGCAGUUAAAAAGCUCGUAGUUGAAUUUCUGGGGGGGUGUUUCAAGGUACGUCCUGAUUCUGCCCCCUCAUCCGCUUUGGAACCAGGAUGGGUAUUUAGUUAUCGGCCUGGGGAAGGGGCAUUUUACUUUGAAGAAAUUAGAGUGUUCCAGGCAGGCUUUGCUUGAAUACAUCAGCAUGGAAUAAUGGAAUAGGACAAUGUUCAUUUUAUUGGCUAUUGAACUUGUAAUGAUUAACAGGGACAGUUGGGGGCAUUCGUAUUCAUUUGUCAGAGGUGGAGUUCUUGGAUUAACUGAAGACGAACUAAUGCGAAAGCAUUUGCCAAGGAUGUUU
RNAcentral lists this ribosomal RNA (359 nucleotides) under uncultured eukaryote. RNAcentral's name for it is "SSU rRNA". It matches the Rfam family "Eukaryotic small subunit ribosomal RNA", at positions 587 to 969 of the family's 1831-position model. The record is from RNAcentral.